RNAcentral lists this long non-coding RNA (455 nucleotides) under Olea europaea subsp. europaea. Lineage: Eukaryota; Viridiplantae; Streptophyta; Magnoliopsida; Lamiales; Oleaceae. The record is from RNAcentral.
UAUGGGGAUUUAAAGUUCUGAUAUUUUUUUGAAUUUUUGACUUGGAAAUAGUUCACAGUUAAUUUUAAAUUGUUCAUUAUUGUUUGCCUUGUCCCUUGCGAUACAAAAAACUUUUUCUCUUCAAAUAGGACCAGGGGCGUUCCCUAGGGUCUACAAUGUACCUGUAUAAUGUGUUCAAAUUUAAUUUAUACUUCGACUCAGGUCAUUGUCUGGUGAUAUUUGAAUUAAUAGACACAAUAAAAGAUCGAAUUCAAAUUCUGAGUAAAUCAGGGGCGGUCUCAGAUGAGUGUAAUAUUAUUUCAAUUAAAUUAGGGAAUGCCCAUGGUCCUAUUUGAAGAUUUUUUUGUAUCGCAAGGGACAUGGCAAACAAUAUUGAACAAUUUAAAAUUAACUAUAAGCUAUUUCCAACUCAAAAAUUCAAAAAAAUAUCAGAACUUUAAAUCCCCAUAUCUCCG